UUGAUUUCCUUCGGGACUGAUUAUUUUGUGACUGAGUGGCGGACGGGUGAGUAACGCGUGGGUAACCUGCCUUGUACAGGGGGAUAACAGUUGGAAACGGCUGCUAAUACCGCAUAAGCGCACGGUACCGCAUGGUACAGUGUGAAAAACUCCGGUGGUGUGAGAUGGACCCGCGUCUGAUUAGCUAGUUGGCAGGGCAACGGCCUACCAAGGCGACGAUCAGUAACCGACCUGAGAGGGUGACCGGCCACAUUGGGACUGAGACACGGCCCAAACUCCUACGGGAGGCAGCAGUGGGGAAUAUUGCACAAUGGGGGAAACCCUGAUGCAGCGACGCCGCGUGAGCGAAGAAGUAUUUCGGUAUGUAAAGCUCUAUCAGCAGGGAAGAAGAAAUGACGGUACCUGACUAAGAAGCACCGGCUAAAUACGUGCCAGCAGCCGCGGUAAUACGUAUGGUGCAAGCGUUAUCCGGAUUUACUGGGUGUAAAGGGAGCGCAGGCGGAAGGCUAAGUCUGAUGUGAAAGCCCGGGGCUCAACCCCGGUACUGCAUUGGAAACUGGUCAUCUAGAGUGUCGGAGGGGUAAGUGGAAUUCCUAGUGUAGCGGUGAAAUGCGUAGAUAUUAGGAGGAACACCAGUGGCGAAGGCGGCUUACUGGACGAUAACUGACGCUGAGGCUCGAAAGCGUGGGGAGCAAACAGGAUUAGAUACCCUGGUAGUCCACGCCGUANACGAUGAAUACUAGGUGUCGGGAAGCACNGCUUU
Molecule: ribosomal RNA, 763 nt
Filed under: uncultured bacterium
Lineage: Bacteria
Description: bacterial SSU rRNA
Rfam family: Bacterial small subunit ribosomal RNA
Source: RNAcentral